AUACGGAGGGUGCGAGCGUUAAUCGGAAUUACUGGGCGUAAAGAGUGCGUAGGUGGUUGACUAAGUUAUCUGUGAAAUCCCUGGGCUUAACCUGGGCAGGUCAGAUAAUACUGGUUGACUCGAGUAUGGGAGAGGGUAGUGGAAUUUCCGGUGUAGCGGUGAAAUGCGUAGAGAUCGGAAGGAACACCAGUGGCGAAGGCGGCUACCUGGCCUAAUACUGACACUGAGGCACGAAAGCGUGGGGAGC
RNAcentral lists this ribosomal RNA (247 nucleotides) under uncultured bacterium. RNAcentral describes it as "partial 16S ribosomal RNA". It matches the Rfam family "Bacterial small subunit ribosomal RNA", at positions 523 to 769 of the family's 1533-position model. The record is from RNAcentral.